GAUGAACGCUGGCGGCGUGCCUAAUACAUGCAAGUCGAGCGAACAGAUGAGAAGCUUGCUUCUCUGACGUUAGCGGCGGACGGGUGAGUAACACGUGGGUAACCUACCUAUAAGACUGGGAUAACUUCGGGAAACCGUAGCUAAUACCGGAUAAUAUUUCGAACCGCAUGGUUCGAUAGUGAAAGAUGGUUUUGCUGUCACUUAUAGAUGGACCCGCGCCGUAUUAGCUAGUUGGUAAGGUAACGGCUUACCAAGGCGACGAUACGUAGCCGACCUGAGAGGGUGAUCGGCCACACUGGAACUGAGACACGGUCCAGACUCCUACGGGAGGCAGCAGUAGGGAAUCUUCCGCAAUGGGCGAAAGCCUGACGGAGCAACGCCGCGUGAGUGAUGAAGGUCUUCGGAUCGUAAAACUCUGUUAUUAGGGAAGAACAUACGUGUAAGUAACUGUGCACGUCUUGACGGUACCUAAUCAGAAAGCCACGGCUAACUACGUG
RNAcentral lists this ribosomal RNA (497 nucleotides) under uncultured bacterium. Its description in RNAcentral is "partial 16S ribosomal RNA". It matches the Rfam family "Bacterial small subunit ribosomal RNA", at positions 28 to 507 of the family's 1533-position model. The record is from RNAcentral.